RNAcentral lists this ribosomal RNA (2906 nucleotides) under Escherichia coli. Its description in RNAcentral is "23S ribosomal RNA". It matches the Rfam family "Bacterial large subunit ribosomal RNA". The record is from RNAcentral. Lineage: Bacteria; Pseudomonadati; Pseudomonadota; Gammaproteobacteria; Enterobacterales; Enterobacteriaceae.
GGUUAAGCGACUAAGCGUACANNNNNNNNNNNNNNNNNNNCAGAGGCGAUGAAGGACGUGCUAAUCUGCGAUAAGCGUCGGUAAGGUGAUAUGAACCGUUAUAACCGGCGAUUUCCGAAUGGGGAAACCCAGUGUGUUUCGACACACUAUCAUUAACUGAAUCCAUAGGUUAAUGAGGCGAACCGGGGGAACUGAAACAUCUAAGUACCCCGAGGAAAAGAAAUCAACCGAGAUUCCCCCAGUAGCGGCGAGCGAACGGGGAGCAGCCCAGAGCCUGAAUCAGUGUGUGUGUUAGUGGAAGCGUCUGGAAAGGCGCGCGAUACAGGGUGACAGCCCCGUACACAAAAAUGCACAUGCUGUGAGCUCGAUGAGUAGGGCGGGACACGUGGUAUCCUGUCUGAAUAUGGGGGGACCAUCCUCCAAGGCUAAAUACUCCUGACUGACCGAUAGUGAACCAGUACCGUGAGGGAAAGGCGAAAAGAACCCCGGCGAGGGGAGUGAAAAAGAACCUGAAACCGUGUACGUACAAGCAGUGGGAGCACGCUUAGGCGUGUGACUGCGUACCUUUUGUAUAAUGGGUCAGCGACUUAUAUUCUGUAGCAAGGUUAACCGAAUAGGGGAGCCGAAGGGAAACCGAGUCUUAACUGGGCGUUAAGUUGCAGGGUAUAGACCCGAAACCCGGUGAUCUAGCCAUGGGCAGGUUGAAGGUUGGGUAACACUAACUGGAGGACCGAACCGACUAAUGUUGAAAAAUUAGCGGAUGACUUGUGGCUGGGGGUGAAAGGCCAAUCAAACCGGGAGAUAGCUGGUUCUCCCCGAAAGCUAUUUAGGUAGCGCCUCGUGAAUUCAUCUCCGGGGGUAGAGCACUGUUUCGGCAAGGGGGUCAUCCCGACUUACCAACCCGAUGCAAACUGCGAAUACCGGAGAAUGUUAUCACGGGAGACACACGGCGGGUGCUAACGUCCGUCGUGAAGAGGGAAACAACCCAGACCGCCAGCUAAGGUCCCAAAGUCAUGGUUAAGUGGGAAACGAUGUGGGAAGGCCCAGACAGCCAGGAUGUUGGCUUAGAAGCAGCCAUCAUUUAAAGAAAGCGUAAUAGCUCACUGGUCGAGUCGGCCUGCGCGGAAGAUGUAACGGGGCUAAACCAUGCACCGAAGCUGCGGCAGCGACGCUUAUGCGUUGUUGGGUAGGGGAGCGUUCUGUAAGCCUGUGAAGGUGUGCUGUGAGGCAUGCUGGAGGUAUCAGAAGUGCGAAUGCUGACAUAAGUAACGAUAAAGCGGGUGAAAAGCCCGCUCGCCGGAAGACCAAGGGUUCCUGUCCAACGUUAAUCGGGGCAGGGUGAGUCGACCCCUAAGGCGAGGCCGAAAGGCGUAGUCGAUGGGAAACAGGUUAAUAUUCCUGUACUUGGUGUUACUGCGAAGGGGGGACGGAGAAGGCUAUGUUGGCCGGGCGACGGUUGUCCCGGUUUAAGCGUGUAGGCUGGUUUUCCAGGCAAAUCCGGAAAAUCAAGGCUGAGGCGUGAUGACGAGGCACUACGGUGCUGAAGCAACAAAUGCCCUGCUUCCAGGAAAAGCCUCUAAGCAUCAGGUAACAUCAAAUCGUACCCCAAACCGACACAGGUGGUCAGGUAGAGAAUACCAAGGCGCUUGAGAGAACUCGGGUGAAGGAACUAGGCAAAAUGGUGCCGUAACUUCGGGAGAAGGCACGCUGAUAUGUAGGUGAAGUCCCUCGCGGAUGGAGCUGAAAUCAGUCGAAGAUACCAGCUGGCUGCAACUGUUUAUUAAAAACACAGCACUGUGCAAACACGAAAGUGGACGUAUACGGUGUGACGCCUGCCCGGUGCCGGAAGGUUAAUUGAUGGGGUUAGCCGCAAGGCGAAGCUCUUGAUCGAAGCCCCGGUAAACGGCGGCCGUAACUAUAACGGUCCUAAGGUAGCGAAAUUCCUUGUCGGGUAAGUUCCGACCUGCACGAAUGGCGUAAUGAUGGCCAGGCUGUCUCCACCCGAGACUCAGUGAAAUUGAACUCGCUGUGAAGAUGCAGUGUACCCGCGGCAAGACGGAAAGACCCCGUGAACCUUUACUAUAGCUUGACACUGAACAUUGAGCCUUGAUGUGUAGGAUAGGUGGGAGGCUUAGAAGUGUGGACGCCAGUCUGCAUGGAGCCGACCUUGAAAUACCACCCUUUAAUGUUUGAUGUUCUAACGUUGACCCGUAAUCCGGGUUGCGGACAGUGUCUGGUGGGUAGUUUGACUGGGGCGGUCUCCUCCUAAAGAGUAACGGAGGAGCACGAAGGUUGGCUAAUCCUGGUCGGACAUCAGGAGGUUAGUGCAAUGGCAUAAGCCAGCUUGACUGCGAGCGUGACGGCGCGAGCAGGUGCGAAAGCAGGUCAUAGUGAUCCGGUGGUUCUGAAUGGAAGGGCCAUCGCUCAACGGAUAAAAGGUACUCCGGGGAUAACAGGCUGAUACCGCCCAAGAGUUCAUAUCGACGGCGGUGUUUGGCACCUCGAUGUCGGCUCAUCACAUCCUGGGGCUGAAGUAGGUCCCAAGGGUAUGGCUGUUCGCCAUUUAAAGUGGUACGCGAGCUGGGUUUAGAACGUCGUGAGACAGUUCGGUCCCUAUCUGCCGUGGGCGCUGGAGAACUGAGGGGGGCUGCUCCUAGUACGAGAGGACCGGAGUGGACGCAUCACUGGUGUUCGGGUUGUCAUGCCAAUGGCACUGCCCGGUAGCUAAAUGCGGAAGAGAUAAGUGCUGAAAGCAUCUAAGCACGAAACUUGCCCCGAGAUGAGUUCUCCCUGACUCCUUGAGAGUCCUGAAGGAACGUUGAAGACGACGACGUUGAUAGGCCGGGUGUGUAAGCGCAGCGAUGCGUUGAGCUAACCGGUACUAAUGAACCGUGAGGCUUAACCUU